CAAGCCUCGUGGAGAAGUCUGCAGGCUUCUUGCUCCUAAGAAGGUGUGAAUUUGGAGUAGUGAGCUGGAGAAGCAGCUGGCUCUAGAUUUAUCCCCCAAGUGGUGGGAUAAAUGCCCGAGGAAGGAGACCCCAGCACGUUGAAAAAAAAAAUCAUCGUAUUUGAUGAAAAGCAUUCAGAGGCUGGAUUGUAGUAGGGGUAGAGGUACAUAGAAGGAGAAGGGUGCAGGAAAGAUAUUCUUUCCACUGCCAAUGAGAUGAUAAAGGACUAUUCAGCUUUUAAACCUCAGGGGCUGGUGAACAUUUGUUGGCUG
RNAcentral lists this long non-coding RNA (312 nucleotides) under Homo sapiens (human). RNAcentral describes it as "HSALNT0168681". The record is from RNAcentral. Lineage: Eukaryota; Metazoa; Chordata; Mammalia; Primates; Hominidae.